This 270-nucleotide ribosomal RNA is filed under the name uncultured bacterium. RNAcentral describes it as "partial 16S ribosomal RNA". It matches the Rfam family "Bacterial small subunit ribosomal RNA", at positions 30 to 298 of the family's 1533-position model. The record is from RNAcentral.
AUUGAACGCUGGCGGCGUGCUUAACACAUGCAAGUCGAGCGGUAACAGGUGUAGCAAUACAUGCUGACGAGCGGCGAACGGGUGAGGAAUGCUUCGGAAUCUGCCUCGUAGUGGGGAAUAACUAGCCGAAAGGUUAGCUAAUGCCGCAUACGAACCACGGUUGAAAGCGGGGGAUCGCAAGACCUCGCGCUAUGAGAUGAGCCGAAGUCCGAUUAGCUAGUUGGUGAGGUAACGGCUCACCAAGGCGACAAUCGGUAGCUGGUCUGAGAG